GACGAACGCUGGCGGCGUGCUUAACACAUGCAAGUCGAACGGAAAGGCCCUGCUUUUGUGGGGUGCCCGAGUGGCGAACGGGUGAGUAACACGUGAGUAACCUGCCCUUGACUUUGGGAUAACUUCAGGAAACCGGGGCUAAUACCGGAUAGGAGCUCCUGCUGCAUGGUGGGGGUUGGAAAGUUUCGGCGGUUGGGGAUGGACUCGCGGCUUAUCAGCUUGUUGGUGGGGUAGUGGCUUACCAAGGCUUUGACGGGUAGCCGGCCUGAGAGGGUGACCGGCCACAUUGGGACUGAGAUACGGCCCAGACUCCUACGGGAGGCAGCAGUGGGGAAUAUUGCACAAUGGGCGGAAGCCUGAUGCAGCAACGCCGCGUGCGGGAUGACGGCCUUCGGGUUGUAAACCGCUUUCGCCUGUGACGAAGCGUGAGUGACGGUAAUGGGUAAAGAAGCACCGGCUAACUACGUGCCAGCAGCCGCGGUGAUACGUAGGGUGCGAGCGUUGUCCGGAUUUAUUGGGCGUAAAGGGCUCGUAGGUGGUUGAUCGCGUCGGAAGUGUAAUCUUGGGGCUUAACCCUGAGCGUGCUUUCGAUACGGGUUGACUUGAGGAAGGUAGGGGAGAAUGGAAUUCCUGGUGGAGCGGUGGAAUGCGCAGAUAUCAGGAGGAACACCAGUGGCGAAGGCGGUUCUCUGGGCCUUUCCUGACGCUGAGGAGCGAAAGCGUGGGGAGCGAACAGGCUUAGAUACCCUGGUAGUCCACGCUGUAAACGGUGGGUACUAGGUGUGGGGUCCAUUCCACGGGUUCCGUGCCGUAGCUAACGCUUUAAGUACCCCGCCUGGGGAGUACGGCCGCAAGGCUAAAACUCAAAGGAAUUGACGGGGCCCCGCAUAAGCGGCGGAGCAUGCGGAUUAAUUCGAUGCAACGCGUAGAACCUUACCUGGGUUUGACAUGGAUCGGGAGCGCUCAGAGAUGGGUGUGCCUCUUUUGGGGUCGGUUCACAGGUGGUGCAUGGCUGUCGUCAGCUCGUGUCGUGAGAUGUUGGGUUAAGUCCCGCAACGAGCGCAACCCUUGUUCACUGUUGCCAGCACGUUAUGGUGGGGACUCAGUGGAGACCGCCGGGGUCAACUCGGAGGAAGGUGGGGAUGACGUCAAGUCAUCAUGCCCCUUAUGUCCAGGGCUUCACGCAUGCUACAAUGGCUGGUACAGAGAGUGGCGAGCCUGUGAGGGUGAGCGAAUCUCGGAAAGCCGGCCUCAGUUCGGAUUGGGGUCUGCAACUCGACCUCAUGAAGUCGGAGUCGCUAGUAAUCGCAGAUCAGCAACGCUGCGGUGAAUACGUUCCCGGG
This 1343-nucleotide ribosomal RNA is filed under the name uncultured bacterium. RNAcentral describes it as "16S ribosomal RNA". It matches the Rfam family "Bacterial small subunit ribosomal RNA", at positions 28 to 1378 of the family's 1533-position model. The record is from RNAcentral.